UCUCCAGUCUCUCUCCAGCUGCUGUCUCUCUCCAGUCUCUCUCCAGUCUCUCUCCAGUCUCUCUCCAGUCUCUCUCCAGUCUCUCUCCAGUCUCUCUCCAGCUGCUGUCUCUCUCCAGUCUCUCUCCAGUCUCUCUCCAGUCUCUCUCCAGUCUCUCUCCAGUCUCUCUCCAGCUGCUGUCUCUCUCCAGUCUCUCUCCAGUCUCUCUCCAGUCUCUCUCCAGUCUCUCUCCAGUCUCUCUCCAGCUGCUGUCUCUCUCCAGUCUCUCUCCAGUCUCUCUCCAGUCUCUCUCCAGCUGCUGUCUCUCUCCAGUCUCUCUCCAGUCUCUCUCCAGUCUCUCUCCAGUCUCUCUCCAGCUGCUGUCUCUCUCCAGUCUCUCUCCAGUCUCUCUCCAGUCUCUCUCCAGACUCUCUCCAGUCUCUCUCCAGACUCUCUCCAGUCUCUCUCCAGUCUCUCUCAUGUCUCUCCAGUCUCUCUCCAGUCUCUCUCCAGACUCUCUCCAGUCUCUCUCCAGUCUCUCUUCAGUCUCUCUCCAGUCUCUCUCCAGUCUCUCUCCAGUCUCUCUUCAGUCUCUCUCUAGUCUCUCCAGUCUCUCUCCAGUCUCUCUCCAGUCUCUCUCCAGUCUCUCUCCAGUCUCUCUCCAGCUGCUGUCUCUCUCCAGUCUCUCUCCAGUCUCUCUCCAGUCUCUCUCCAGUCUCUCUCCAGUCUCUCUUCAGUCUCUCUCCAGUCUCUCUCCAGUCUCUCUCCAGUCUCUCUUCAGUCUCUCUCUAGUCUCUCCAGUCUCUCUCCAGUCUCUCUCCAGUCUCUCUUCAGUCUCUCUCCAGUCUCUCUCCAGUCUCUCUCCAGUCUCUCUUCAGUCUCUCUCCAGUCUCUCUCCAGUCUCUCUCCAGUCUCUCUCUAGUCUCUCCAGUCUCUCUCCAGUCUCUCUUCAGUCUCUCUCCAGUCUCUCUCUAGUCUCUCCAGUCUCUCUCCAGUCUCUCUCCAGUCUCUCUCCAGUCUCUCCAGUCUCUCUUCAGUCUCUCUCUAGUCUCUCCAGUCUCUCUCCAGUCUCUCUCCAGUCUCUCUUCAGUCUCUCUCCAGUCUCUCUCCAGUCUCUCUCCAGUCUCUCUCCAGUCUCUCUUCAGUCUCUCUCCAGUCUCUCUCCAGUCUCUCUCCAGUCUCUCUCCCAGACUCUCUCCAGUCUCUCUCCAGACUCUCUCCAGUCUCUCUCCAGUCUCUCUUCAGUCUCUCUUCAGUCUCUCUCCAGUCUCUCUCUAGUCUCUCCAGUCUCUCUCCAGUCUCUCUCCAGUCUCUCUCCAGUCUCUCUUCAGUCUCUCUCCAGUCUCUCUCCAGUCUCUCUCCAGUCUCUCUCCAGACUCUCUCCAGUCUCUCUCCAGACUCUCUCCAGUCUCUCUCCAGUCUCUCUUCAGUCUCUCUUCAGUCUCUCUCCAGUCUCUCUCUAGUCUCUCCAGUCUCUCUCCAGUCUCUCUCCAGUCUCUCUUCAGUCUCUCUCCAGUAUCUCUCCAGUCUCUCUCCAGUCUCUCUCCAGUCUCUCUCCAGUCUCUCUUCAGUCUCUCUCCAGUCUCUCUCCAGUCUCUCUCCAGUCUCUCUCCAGUCUCUCUUCAGUCUCUCUCCAGUCUCUCUCCAGUCUCUCUCCAGUCUUUCUCCAGUCUCUCUCCAGUCUCUCUCUAGUCUCUCCAGUCUCUCUCCAGUCUCUCUUCAGUCUCUCUCCAGUCUCUCCUCAGUCUCUCUCCAGUCUCUCUUCAGUCUCUCUGUCUUUCUGUCUCUCCUC
Molecule: long non-coding RNA, 1771 nt
Filed under: Salmo salar (Atlantic salmon)
Lineage: Eukaryota; Metazoa; Chordata; Actinopteri; Salmoniformes; Salmonidae
Description: lncRNA (ENSSSAG00000089167.1)
Source: RNAcentral